UACGGAAGGCAGCAGUGGGGAAUAUUGCACAAUGGGCGCAAGCCUGAUGCAGCCAUGCCGCGUGUAUGAAGAAGGCCUUCGGGUUGUAAAGUACUUUCAGCGGGGAGGAAGGCGAUGCGGUUAAUAACCGCGUCGAUUGACGUUACCCGCAGAAGAAGCACCGGCUAACUCCGUGCCAGCAGCCGCGGUAAUACGGAGGGUGCAAGCGUUAAUCGGAAUUACUGGGCGUAAAGCGCACGCAGGCGGUCUGUUAAGUCAGAUGUGAAAUCCCCCGGGCUUAACCUGGGAACUGCAUUUUGAAACUGGCAGGCUUGAGUCUUGUAAGAGGGGGUUAGAAUUCCAGGUGUAGCGGUGAAAUGCGUAGAGAUCUGGAGGAAUACCGGUGGCGAAGGCGGCCCCCUGGGACAAAGCUGACGCUCAGGGUGCGAAAGCGUGGGGAGCAAACAGGGAUUAGAUA
This 457-nucleotide ribosomal RNA is filed under the name uncultured bacterium. RNAcentral's name for it is "bacterial SSU rRNA". It matches the Rfam family "Bacterial small subunit ribosomal RNA", at positions 340 to 784 of the family's 1533-position model. The record is from RNAcentral.